This 605-nucleotide ribosomal RNA is filed under the name Vibrio sp. RNAcentral describes it as "bacterial SSU rRNA". It matches the Rfam family "Bacterial small subunit ribosomal RNA", at positions 396 to 1000 of the family's 1533-position model. Lineage: Bacteria; Pseudomonadati; Pseudomonadota; Gammaproteobacteria; Vibrionales; Vibrionaceae. The record is from RNAcentral.
GCCGCGUGUGUGAAGAAGGCCUUCGGGUUGUAAAGCACUUUCAGUCGUGAGGAAGGUGGGUUAAUAGCAAUCAUUUGACGUUAGCGACAGAAGAAGCACCGGCUAACUCCGUGCCAGCAGCCGCGGUAAUACGGAGGGUGCGAGCGUUAAUCGGAAUUACUGGGCGUAAAGCGCAUGCAGGUGGUUUGUUAAGUCAGAUGUGAAAGCCCGGGGCUCAACCUCGGAAUAGCAUUUGAAACUGGCAGACUAGAGUACUGUAGAGGGGGGUAGAAUUUCAGGUGUAGCGGUGAAAUGCGUAGAGAUCUGAAGGAAUACCGGUGGCGAAGGCGGCCCCCUGGACAGAUACUGACACUCAGAUGCGAAAGCGUGGGGAGCAAACAGGAUUAGAUACCCUGGUAGUCCACGCCGUAAACGAUGUCUACUUGGAGGUUGUGGCCUUGAGCCGUGGCUUUCGGAGCUAACGCGUUAAGUAGACCGCCUGGGGAGUACGUCGCAAGAUUAAAACUCAAAUGAAUUGACGGGGGCCCGCACAAGCGGUGGAGCAUGUGGUUUAAUUCGAUGCAACGCGAAGAACCUUACCUACUCUUGACAUCCAGAGAACUUUC